Molecule: ribosomal RNA, 1011 nt
Filed under: Bacillus subtilis
Lineage: Bacteria; Bacillati; Bacillota; Bacilli; Caryophanales; Bacillaceae
Description: bacterial SSU rRNA
Source: RNAcentral
AAUGCAGUCGAGCGGACAGAUGGGAGCUUGCUCCCUGAUGUUAGCGGCGGACGGGUGAGUAACACGUGGGUAACCUGCCUGUAAGACUGGGAUAAYUCCGGGAAACCGGGGCUAAUACCGGAUGGUUGUYUGAACCGCAUGGUUCAGACAUAAAAGGUGGCUUCGGCUACCACUUACAGAUGGACCCGCGGCGCAUUAGCUAGUUGGUGAGGUAACGGCUCACCAAGGCGACGAUGCGUAGCCGACCUGAGAGGGUGAUCGGCCACACUGGGACUGAGACACGGCCCAGACUCCUACGGGAGGCAGCAGUAGGGAAUCUUCCGCAAUGGACGAAAGUCUGACGGAGCAACGCCGCGUGAGUGAUGAAGGUUUUCGGAUCGUAAAGCUCUGUUGUUAGGGAAGAACAAGUGCCGUUCAAAUAGGGCGGCACCUUGACGGUACCUAACCAGAAAGCCACGGCUAACUACGUGCCAGCAGCCGCGGUAAUACGUAGGUGGCAAGCGUUGUCCGGAAUUAUUGGGCGUAAAGGGCUCGCAGGCGGUUUCUUAAGUCUGAUGUGAAAGCCCCCGGCUCAACCGGGGAGGGUCAUUGGAAACUGGGGAACUUGAGUGCAGAAGAGGAGAGUGGAAUUCCACGUGUAGCGGUGAAAUGCGUAGAGAUGUGGAGGAACACCAGUGGCGAAGGCGACUCUCUGGUCUGUAACUGACGCUGAGGAGCGAAAGCGUGGGGAGCGAACAGGAUUAGAUACCCUGGUAGUCCACGCCGUAAACGAUGAGUGCUAAGUGUUAGGGGGUUUCCGCCCCUUAGUGCUGCAGCUAACGCAUUAAGCACUCCGCCUGGGGAGUACGGUCGCAAGACUGAAACUCAAAGGAAUUGACGGGGGCCCGCACAAGCGGUGGAGCAUGUGGUUUAAUUCGAAGCAACGCGAAGAACCUUACCAGGUCUUGACAUCCUCUGACAAUCCUAGAGAUAGGACGUCCCCUUCGGGGGCAGAGUGACAGGUGGUGCAUG